Bradysia coprophila is the source of this 76-nucleotide long non-coding RNA. NCBI's taxonomy places the organism in Eukaryota, Metazoa, Arthropoda, Insecta, Diptera, Sciaridae. The record is from RefSeq and is a predicted model, not a curated record.
UACACAAAACGUUACUUUUCUCACACACAAUUGUAUCCUCCGCACAAAAGUCCAUGCUUCAUACACACAAAAAAGU